GGCAUUGGCCAUAUCACCCUGUAGCUCACAGCUGGCAGCCCGCUGAAGCUAAGCAGGUGUGAGCCUGCCCAGUACCUGGAUGGGAGACCUCCUGGGAAAGCUAAGGUUGAAGCUU
RNAcentral lists this ribosomal RNA (115 nucleotides) under Lepisosteus oculatus (spotted gar). Lineage: Eukaryota; Metazoa; Chordata; Actinopteri; Semionotiformes; Lepisosteidae. The record is from RNAcentral.